This 256-nucleotide ribosomal RNA is filed under the name uncultured bacterium. RNAcentral's name for it is "partial 16S ribosomal RNA". It matches the Rfam family "Bacterial small subunit ribosomal RNA", at positions 524 to 776 of the family's 1533-position model. The record is from RNAcentral.
UACGUAGGGUGCGAGCGUUGUCCGGAAUUACUGGGCGUAAAGAGCUCGUAGGCGGUUUGUCGCGUCGUCCGUGAAAACUUGGGGCUCAACCCCAAGCUUGCGGGCGAUACGGGCAGACUUGAGUACUGCAGGGGAGACUGGAAUUCCUGGUGUAGCGGUGAAAUGCGCAGAUAUCAGGAGGAACACCGAGUGGCGAAAGGCAGGUGUUCUGGGCCAGUACUGACGCUGAGGAGCGAAAGCGUGGGGAGCAAACAGG